AGUAGUCAGAGCACGUUAAAGUGUGAUGGCGUACAUCUUGCAGUAUGGGCCGGCGAGUUAUGUUAAAAUAUGCAAGGUUAAGCAGAAAAAAGCGGAGCCGUAGGGAAACCGAGUCUGAAUAGGGCGACUUUAGUAUAUUGGCAUAUACCCGAAACCAGGUGAUCUAUCCAUGAGCAGGUUGAAGCUUAGGUAAAACUAAGUGGAGGACCGAACCGUAGUACGCUAAAAAGUGCCCGGAUGACUUGUGGAUAGCGGUGAAAUUCCAAUCGAACCUGGAGAUAGCUGGUUCUCUUCGAAAUAGCUUUAGGGCUAGCGUAUAGUAUUGUUUAAUGGGGGUAGAGCACUGAAUGUGGAAUGGCGGCAUCUAGCUGUACUGACUAUAAUCAAACUCCGAAUACCAUUAAAAUUAAGCUAUGCAGUCGGAACGUGGGUGAUAACGUCCACGCUCGCGAGGGAAACAACCCAGAUCGUCAGCUAAGGUCCCAAAAUUGUGUUAAGUGAGAAAGGUUGUGAGAUUUCAUAAACAACUAGGAAGUUGGCUUAGAAGCAGCCACCUUUUAAAGAGUGCGUAAUUGCUCACUAGUCAAGAGAUCUUGCGCCAAUAAUGUAACGGGACUCAAACACAAUACCGAAGCUACGGGCACAUUAUGUGCGUUAGGAGAGCGUUUUAAUUUCGUUGAAGUCAGACCGUGAGGACUGGUGGAGAGAUUAAAAGUGAGAAUGCCGGCAUGAGUAACGAUUCGAAGUGAGAAUCUUCGACGCCUAUUGGGAAAGGUUUCCUGGGCAAGGUUCGUCCACCCAGGGUUAGUCAGGGCCUAAGAUGAGGCAGAAAUGCAUAGUCGAUGGACAACAGGUUAAUAUUCCUGUACUUGGUAAAAGAAUGAUGGAGUGACGAAAAAGGAUAGUUCUACCACUUACUGGAUUGUGGGGUAAGCAACAAGAGAGUUAUAUAGGCAAAUCCGUAUAGCAUAAUCUUGAGUUGUGAUGCAUAGUGAAGACUUCGGUCGAGUAACGAAUUGAAUGAUUUCAUGUUUCCAAGAAAAGCUUCUAGUGUUAAUUUUUUAUCAACCUGUACCGAGAACGAACACACGUUCCCAAGAUGAGUAUUCUAAGGCGAGCGAGAAAACCAAUGUUAAGGAACUCUGCAAAAUAACCCCGUAAGUUCGCGAGAAGGGGCGCCUAUUUUUAAUAGGCCACAGAAAAUAGGGGGGGCAACUGUUUAUCAAAAACACAGCUCUCUGCUAAGUUGUAAAACGACGUAUAGAGGGUGAAGCCUGCCCAGUGCCCGAAGGUUAAACGGAGAUGUUAGCUUACGCAAAGCAUUAAA
RNAcentral lists this ribosomal RNA (1327 nucleotides) under Acinetobacter baumannii. RNAcentral's name for it is "partial 23S ribosomal RNA". It matches the Rfam family "Bacterial large subunit ribosomal RNA", at positions 569 to 1911 of the family's 2925-position model. Lineage: Bacteria; Pseudomonadati; Pseudomonadota; Gammaproteobacteria; Moraxellales; Moraxellaceae. The record is from RNAcentral.